UACGAAGGGGGCUAGCGUUGUUCGGAAUUACUGGGCGUAAAGAGCUCGUAGGCGGUUCGGUAAGUCGGGUGUGAAACCUCCAGGCUCAACCUGGAGAGGCCACCUGAUACUGCUGUGACUCGAGUCCGGUAGGGGAGCGUGGAAUUCCUGGUGUAGCGGUGAAAUGCGCAGAUAUCAGGAGGAACACCAGCGGCGAAGGCGGCGCUCUGGGCCGGAACUGACGCUGAGGAGCGAAAGCGUGGGUAGCAAACAGG
RNAcentral lists this ribosomal RNA (254 nucleotides) under uncultured bacterium. RNAcentral describes it as "partial 16S ribosomal RNA". It matches the Rfam family "Bacterial small subunit ribosomal RNA", at positions 524 to 776 of the family's 1533-position model. The record is from RNAcentral.